AUGAACGGCAGGGGCUUUCAUAAGCUCAAUGAAGCAUUGCUUGUCCUACUCACCAAGAAACCGGACGCAUCCGCGCUCACAGACUACAUGCCAAUUAGCUUGAUCCAUCUCCUAGCUAAGCUCUUUGCUAAGGUUCUUUCCAUACGCUUGGCGCCGCGGAUGGGGCAAAUUGUCUCUGCCAACCAAAGUGCCUUCAUCGCCGACCGGAGCAUGCAUGAAAACUUCCUUCUGGUCCAGCAAAUGGUGCGCCUACUCCACAACCUAAAGGCCCCGCGAAUCCUCGUCAAGCUUGAAAUAGCGAAGGCAUUCAACAUGGUCUCCUGGCCCUUCCUCCUGCAAGUCCUAUGA
This 348-nucleotide ribosomal RNA is filed under the name Triticum aestivum (bread wheat). Its description in RNAcentral is "partial small subunit ribosomal RNA". The record is from RNAcentral. Lineage: Eukaryota; Viridiplantae; Streptophyta; Magnoliopsida; Poales; Poaceae.